Molecule: ribosomal RNA, 252 nt
Filed under: uncultured bacterium
Lineage: Bacteria
Description: partial 16S ribosomal RNA
Rfam family: Bacterial small subunit ribosomal RNA
Source: RNAcentral
UACGAAGGGGGCUAGCGUUGUUCGGAAUUACUGGGCGUAAAGGGCGCGUAGGCGGCGUGUCAAGUCAGGCGUGAAAGCCCCGGGCUCAACCUGGGAACCGCGCUUGAGACUGGCAUGCUCGAGUUCGGGAGAGGAUGGUGGAAUUCCCAGUGUAGCGGUGAAUGCGUAGAUAUUGGGAGGAACACCAGUGGCGAAGGCGGCUCACUGGACCGGAACUGACGCUGAGGCGCGAAAGCGUGGGGAGCAAACAGG